UUAAAUGAUGACAACUAUAUCAAGUUGCUUGAACCAUAGAGACUUUCUUCUCUUCGUAUGUGAGCACACGAUUUCUCAAGACUACAACGGUAUCUGAUA
This 99-nucleotide small nucleolar RNA is filed under the name Henningerozyma blattae CBS 6284. RNAcentral's name for it is "Tetrapisispora blattae CBS 6284 Small nucleolar RNA snR79". It matches the Rfam family "Small nucleolar RNA snR79". The record is from Rfam by way of RNAcentral. Lineage: Eukaryota; Fungi; Ascomycota; Saccharomycetes; Saccharomycetales; Saccharomycetaceae.